UUGAUAUUAAUCCCAUGAUUCUCAGAACAAGAAAAAUAGCAAAAUCAUCAGUUUAUUUCUUCUAACCUUUUGUAUUGCGGAGUGUAACGUUAACGUUAGUAAACAUUGCACUUGCAUUGCGUGAACCUUGGACUUUUGGAAAAUCGGAGCGAUUUUCUGGCACUAACUUAAUACCGGUGCACUGAUGUUGAUGGAGGGGUGAACGCGCUACGAUGCUGUUAUGUAAGUUAGCCUUACCUCUACAACUUACUGUGAGGGUAAGUUUUACAUUUGUAACCAGACUAACUAACGUUAAUUAGCUGUGGACACAACUUUGCCUAAUUUGAUACUGUAGGUCUCCAUGGCUUCCACUAGAUGUUAUUAGAGGAACACGUUUUACCUUUAAAAGGUCGGUUGACCCAAAUUGCAGCAUGACAAAUAAUUUAAUCCUUUAACUCUAACAGUGAUAUGAAGCUAUUUAAUUGUUUAGAAUUUGUUUAAUUUGCUCAUGUUUGAAGAUAUCCUUCUCUCUUCGUUUGAGGGCGGAAUAGUUCAUGUGAGCACUGAGCAGUCUUUUGGAACUACUUUCUACAGAAGAAAUAGUUCCUAUGAAAACAGCGUACAAUGAGCUCUGUGGAUGAAGACGAGCCAAAGGGACAUGAUUUCUGAAAAGAGAAAGAUUCCAGUGCUGAGCACCAGAAACUAAAUGACAUUUACCUCCACGGUGGGUGGGGUCAGAAACCUAAACCCAAUCACUGCAUGGACAAGAAAGCUUUUUUUCCGGAAGCCUUCGCAACACCCGAGGCACACCGUCCUCCAUCUGGCCCUUCUCCUGCAGCUCAAACAGGGACACCCCAAACAACUUGGCGUGCUUGGCCGUCACUGUCCUGGGUCGCAGUAUGGGUAUCUGGACCAUCUUCUUCAUGUCUUCUUUAACCUGCACCGCUGUCUUGUUAUGCUGCUGGGAGAAGAGCAGACAGCAGCAGUCAGCCACUGACACUAUGGACACAGAGAGCAGCACUGGAGAGUCAGGCUAGACACCACUGACACCUGUCCUGGAGCAGGGAGGGCUCACUCUGCUCCAUAGAUUAAAAGUCAGUACGAGGAGCAAGAGAGUUAGGACUCACACACCAGAAGCAGGUUUCGAUCACUGGGUGAGGAGGAACAGACUUCCUGCACGUCAGAGCAACACAGAUUCAGA
Long non-coding RNA from Micropterus dolomieu (smallmouth bass), 1180 nucleotides. RefSeq lists it as uncharacterized. The transcript has 4 exons. NCBI's taxonomy places the organism in Eukaryota, Metazoa, Chordata, Actinopteri, Centrarchiformes, Centrarchidae. The record is from RefSeq and is a predicted model, not a curated record.